GAUGAACGCUGGCGGCGUGCCUAAUACAUGCCAGUCGAGCGAACAGACGAGGAGCUUGCUCCUCUGACGUUAGCGGCGGACGGGUGAGUAACACGUGGAUAACCUACCUAUAAGACUGGGAUAACUUCGGGAAACCGGAGCUAAUACCGGAUAAUAUAUUGAACCGCAUGGUUCAAUGGUGAAAGACGGUUUUGCUGUCACUUAUAGAUGGAUCCGCGCCGCAUUAGCUAGUUGGUAAGGUAACGGCUUACCAAGGCGACGAUGCGUAGCCGACCUGAGAGGGUGAUCGGCCACACUGGAACUGAGACACGGUCCAGACUCCUACGGGAGGCAGCAGUAGGGAAUCUUCCGCAAUGGGCGAAAGCCUGACGGAGCAACGCCGCGUGAGUGAUGAAGGUCUUCGGAUCGUAAAACUCUGUUAUUAGGGAAGAACAAAUGUGUAAGUAACUAUGCACGUCUUGACGGUACCUAAUCAGAAAGCCACGGCUAACUACGUG
This 497-nucleotide ribosomal RNA is filed under the name uncultured bacterium. RNAcentral describes it as "partial 16S ribosomal RNA". It matches the Rfam family "Bacterial small subunit ribosomal RNA", at positions 28 to 507 of the family's 1533-position model. The record is from RNAcentral.